RNAcentral lists this long non-coding RNA (736 nucleotides) under Pongo abelii (Sumatran orangutan). RNAcentral describes it as "lincRNA". The record is from RNAcentral. Lineage: Eukaryota; Metazoa; Chordata; Mammalia; Primates; Hominidae.
GGGUUCAACAGGGACCAUCCCUCAGAACACCUACAAGUGGCUUCUCUAGCAUGGAGCCUCAGACUUCUGUAUCUCAGGGAUCCCAGGAAGAUGAUUCUAUGAGUGAAAGUUGUAAGCCCUUCCUAUGAGACAGUUUCAGAUUCCGUUCUUUUGUGACAUUGCAUUAAUCAACAAGUCAUCAAAUUCAACUCAGACUCAAAGAGAGAGGAAUUCUAUUCCACCUCUUAGUGAGACAAGUAGCAAGGAAUUUGUGGCCAUCUUUAAUCUAUUACAUAGAUUUCUAAGUCAAAAUGUUUUGACCAAAGCCACAUUUGCCGGAUAUUGAGAGAUGCCACUGCUCUCACUCUGAAGCCUGAAUCUCAAGGGGUCCAAGAUGUCAGUGCUGCUGGAAUUUUGGACAGCCUAUUACUGUGGAAAUGUGUUGAAACAAUAUAAAUCAGAAAUGAAGAAAUAUAGCCAGCAUACAGGAACAAGGGGACAGGAAAGUGGGAGCCACCUGCUCAGGAGAACACAGGAGAGUCCUGAGGUUCCUGUGCUGAAGAAAUGGAUCAAUCUAUUCAGGAAACAGCUAUCAGUUGGACAUUCCUAAGGGAAAACUGCAGGAGAGUGGGACUUUCUGCUGAUAUGGAAAUACUGUAUAGAGCUCUCGGGCUGCUGCUGAAGAAGAAAGAUUUGCUAAAUUUAAAUGGUUAUUCUCACUUUCUUAUGAAGUUAAUUGUAGAAGGAAGAUAAUGAC